Sapajus apella (tufted capuchin) is the source of this 127-nucleotide long non-coding RNA. RefSeq lists it as uncharacterized. Lineage: Eukaryota; Metazoa; Chordata; Mammalia; Primates; Cebidae. The record is from RefSeq and is a predicted model, not a curated record. The transcript has 3 exons.
AUAUUUGCAAAUUAUGCACCUAACAAAGGGCUAAUAUCCAGAAUCUAUAAGGAAUGCAAACAACUCAACAAGAAAAACCUAACCCCGUCAAAAAGUGGGUCAAGGAAAUGAACAGACACUUCUCAAA